GCCUUGGUAGCAUAGUGGUAAUGCACUGGACUGAAGUUCUAGGCAGUAAGAGUUCGAUUCUCUUCCAAGGCA
Molecule: transfer RNA, 72 nt
Organism: Rhodotorula toruloides ATCC 204091
Lineage: Eukaryota; Fungi; Basidiomycota; Microbotryomycetes; Sporidiobolales; Sporidiobolaceae
Rfam family: tRNA
About the family: Transfer RNA (tRNA) molecules are approximately 80 nucleotides in length.
Source: Rfam